AAAGGUUCAAGUACAUAAGUAUGUGUGUGUAUGUAAACAUAUGUCAUUAUUUAAAAUUUCUGGAAAGCUCAAUUGUCUGACUGUAUGAGAACACAUUUGGUGGUUGGUAUCCAAUAAAAUUUUGCUUUACUUCAUGUGAACGUUGUUGAAUGUCUACAUUUCGUACUGAUAUGAUAUUUGGUGAGAUUCAAGUCAUUUAAAUUGAUCCUCUAGAAAGAUAGGAGCAAUCAACCAGUGUUGCUGGUUGCAUUUUGCUAAUGAUUUUGUUGUGAUCUGCUCUACAUCAAGUCCUCUACCUUGUUUAUGUUGCUACUUGGUGGAUGCGAUUGUUGAUUCAUUGUGGAAAUUCAAAGGACGUGGAAUUGGCAGGGUAGAGAAGUACUGCUGGCUCAAUAAUUCUGCCGAAGUUGUGCGUAUAACACAGAAUAUUUUCUUGUGGAUAUUGAUUCUAGUGGAUGAAAAGGAGGCAUUAUUACCCAUAAUUCCAUUCGGAUGAAUUCUUAAAUGGAUGAACUUAAGAUGGAUGAAAUUUUAUUUUGGGAUGAAGAGUAAUUUUUUGAUGAAAUCUCAAUCUUAGA
Molecule: long non-coding RNA, 578 nt
Filed under: Physcomitrium patens
Lineage: Eukaryota; Viridiplantae; Streptophyta; Bryopsida; Funariales; Funariaceae
Description: long non-coding RNA (PPAT_LNC012107)
Source: RNAcentral